Non-coding RNA from Carollia perspicillata (Seba's short-tailed bat), 100 nucleotides. Lineage: Eukaryota; Metazoa; Chordata; Mammalia; Chiroptera; Phyllostomidae. The record is from Rfam.
CCCUUAGUGCCCCCUGAACUAUCUAAAUAGUAUAUUAAAAAUAAAUGGCAUCAGACCGUGAGGGGGCAGGGCCACGUGGUCCCUCCACGAAAGCCACUUG